This 515-nucleotide ribosomal RNA is filed under the name uncultured bacterium. Its description in RNAcentral is "partial 16S ribosomal RNA". It matches the Rfam family "Bacterial small subunit ribosomal RNA", at positions 28 to 523 of the family's 1533-position model. The record is from RNAcentral.
GAUGAACGCUGGCGGCGUGCCUAAUACAUGCAAGUCGAGCGAAUGGAUUAAGAGCUUGCUCUUAUGAAGUUAGCGGCGGACGGGUGAGUAACACGUGGGUAACCUGCCCAUAAGACUGGGAUAACUCCGGGAAACCGGGGCUAAUACCGGAUAACAUUUUGAACCGCAUGGUUCGAAAUUGAAAGGCGGCUUCGGCUGUCACUUAUGGGUGGACCCGCGUCGCAUUAGCUAGUUGGUGAGGUAACGGCUCACCAAGGCAACGAUGCGUAGCCGACCUGAGGGGGUGGUCGGCCGCACUGGGACUGCGACACGGCCCAGACUCCUACGGGAGGCAGCAGUAGGGAAUCUUCCGCAAUGGACGAAAGUCUGACGGAGCAACGCCGCGUGAGUUAUGAAGGCUUUCGGGUCGUAAAACUCUGUUGUUAGGGAAGAACAAGUGCUAGUUGAAUAAGCUGACACCUUGACGGUACCUAACCAGAAAGCCACGGCUAACUACGUGCCAGCCGCCGCAGUAA